CAGUAGCCGCGGGAAUACAGAGGGUGCGAGCGUUAAUCGGAUUUACUGGGCGUAAAGCGUGUGUAGGUUGUUGUUCAAGUCAGUUGUGAAAUCCCUGGGCUCAACCUGGGAACUGCUUCUGAGACUGAACGACUAGAGUACGGUAGAGGGUGGUGGAAUUUCCGGUGUAGCGGUGAAAUGCGUAGAUAUCGGAAGGAACAUCAAUGGCGAAGGCAGCCACCUGGGCCUGUACUGACACUGAGACACGAAAGCGUGGGGAUCAAACAGGAUUAGAUACCCGCGUAGUCCCUGUCUCUUAUAA
RNAcentral lists this ribosomal RNA (301 nucleotides) under uncultured bacterium. RNAcentral's name for it is "partial 16S ribosomal RNA". It matches the Rfam family "Bacterial small subunit ribosomal RNA", at positions 509 to 809 of the family's 1533-position model. The record is from RNAcentral.